RNAcentral lists this ribosomal RNA (464 nucleotides) under uncultured bacterium. RNAcentral describes it as "partial 16S ribosomal RNA". It matches the Rfam family "Bacterial small subunit ribosomal RNA", at positions 28 to 507 of the family's 1533-position model. The record is from RNAcentral.
GACGAACGCUGGCGGCGUGCUUAACACAUGCAAGUCGAACGGUAAGGCCCCAGCUUGCUGGGGUACACGAGUGGCGAACGGGUGAGUAACACGUGGGUGACCUGCCCCGCACUUCGGGAUAAGCCUGGGAAACUGGGUCUAAUACCGGAUAGGACCGCACCGUGAGGGUGUGGUGGAAAGUUUUUCGGUGUGGGAUGGGCCCGCGGCCUAUCAGCUUGUUGGUGGGGUAAUGGCCUACCAAGGCGGCGACGGGUAGCCGGCCUGAGAGGGUGGACGGCCACAUUGGGACUGAGACACGGCCCAGACUCCUACGGGAGGCAGCAGUGGGGAAUAUUGCACAAUGGGCGGAAGCCUGAUGCAGCGACGCCGCGUGGGGGAUGACGGCCUUCGGGUUGUAAACUCCUUUCACCAUCGACGAAGGUUUUCUGACGGUAGAUGGAGAAGAAGCACCGGUUAACUACGUG